Molecule: ribosomal RNA, 423 nt
Filed under: uncultured archaeon
Lineage: Archaea
Description: partial 16S ribosomal RNA
Rfam family: Archaeal small subunit ribosomal RNA
Source: RNAcentral
CUACGGGUCGCUGCAGGCGAGAAAACUUUGCAAUGUGCGCAAGCACGACAAGGUUAAUCCGAGUGGUUUCUGCUAAAGGAACCUUUUGACAGUCCUAGAAACACUGUUGAAUAAGGGGUGGGCAAGUUCUGGUGUCUAGCCGCCGCGGUAAAACCAGCACCUCAAGUGGUCAGGAUGAUUAUUGGGCCUAAAGCAUCCGUAGCCGGCUCUGUAAGUUGUCGGUUAAAUCUGUACGCUUAACGUACAGGCUGCCGGGAAUACUGCAGAGCUAGGGAGUGGGAGAGGUAGACGGUACUCGGUAGGAAGGGGUAAAAUCCUUUGAUCUAUUGAUGACCACCAGUGGCGAAGGCGGUCUACCAGAACACGUCCGACGGUGAGGGAUGAAAGCUGGGGGAGCAAACCGGAUUAGAUACCCCCGUAGUC